UCCCCAAAGGCAAACCCGAUAGAAUUCUUGAAACAAACCUAACUAAAAAACCUCUCUUUCUUCCCCAAAAGCAAACCCAUUAAAACUCCUUAAACAAACCUAUUUUGCUAGCAGACUAAAGAAUCAACGAAGAAACAACAAAUCAAGCAAAAGAUUGUUAUCUAUCCUCUCUCAAACGCUGACCCAAGCACGACCAUGGGUGUUCCUCUCUCAAACGCAGACCCAAGCUCAACCAUGAGUGCCAACGUUUUCAAUCUUCGACCCGGCCGCCAUAUCAGAUCAUUCUCUCUGGUCAGGGAAACACUAAUAGAAAAUCAAAUUCUACAAGUUUUGUAAGAACAUAUUGUGGAUAUGAAUGGGUUUCGUAGUGGAGAUAGUAUUGAAGAGCCUCCCAACCCUCAAAAUCUAUCAACAAUCCUACAGGCUAGUGGAAAAUAACCAACCAAUAGUACAAAUGCCAAAGCAAUUCAAACCACAAGUGACAAUUCAAGAAGAGAUGAACAUCAACAGAAGAACCAUAAGUGAAAUAACAAAAGUUAUGUGGGACUCUGGUAAUGAGGUAUAGAAUUCAAGAGCAAUGUGCAACUCACACUAACAUUUGUACUCAAGGAAAACUAAAGGACAUAUUCAGUGACUACUACAAAGCAACAAAGGAAGAAAAUACAAAAAACGCUUUAAAGUUGUCUUUCAAUUUAUUUUAAAUAUUGAUUAAGUAGUUCUUUAAAUUUGUGUUUCAUACAUUUUAUGGAUAAUAUGGAUAAUUGAGGAU
Molecule: long non-coding RNA, 769 nt
Organism: Quercus lobata
Lineage: Eukaryota; Viridiplantae; Streptophyta; Magnoliopsida; Fagales; Fagaceae
Exons: 4
Source: RefSeq, a predicted model, not a curated record